AUUGAACGCUGGCGGCAGGCCUAACACAUGCAAGUCGAGCGGAUGAAGGGAGCUUGCUCCUGGAUUCAGCGGCGGACGGGUGAGUAAUGCCUAGGAAUCUGCCUGGUAGUGGGGGAUAACGUCCGGAAACGGGCGCUAAUACCGCAUACGUCCUGAGGCAGAAGGUGGGGGAUCUUCGGACCUCACGCUAUCAGAUGAGCCUAGGUCGGAUUAGCUAGUUGGUGGGGUAAAGGCCUACCAAGGCGACGAUCCGUAACUGGUCUGAGAGGAUGAUCAGUCACACUGGAACUGAGACACGGUCCAGACUCCUACGGGAGGCAGCAGUGGGGAAUAUUGGACAAUGGGCGAAAGCCUGAUCCAGCCAUGCCGCGUGUGUGAAGAAGGUCUUCGGAUUGUAAAGCACUUUAAGUUGGGAGGAAGGGCAGUAAGUUAAUACCUUGCUGUUUUGACGUUACCAACAGAAUAAGCACCGGCUAACUUCGUG
Molecule: ribosomal RNA, 484 nt
Filed under: uncultured bacterium
Lineage: Bacteria
Description: partial 16S ribosomal RNA
Rfam family: Bacterial small subunit ribosomal RNA
Source: RNAcentral